RNAcentral lists this ribosomal RNA (503 nucleotides) under uncultured bacterium. Its description in RNAcentral is "partial 16S ribosomal RNA". It matches the Rfam family "Bacterial small subunit ribosomal RNA", at positions 30 to 523 of the family's 1533-position model. The record is from RNAcentral.
AUUGAACGCUGGCGGCAGGCUCAACACAUGCAAGUCGAGCGGGGUGAUGGUGCUUGCACUAUCACUUAGCGGCGGACGGGUGAGUAAUGCUUAGGAAUCUGCCUAUUAGUGGGGGACAACAUCUCGAAAGGGAUGCUAAUACCGCAUACGUCCUACGGGAGAAAGCAGGGGAUCACUUGUGACCUUGCGCUAAUAGAUGAGCCUAAGUCGGAUUAGCUAGUUGGUGGGGUAAAGGCCUACCAAGGCGACGAUCUGUAGCGGGUCUGAGAGGAUGAUCCGCCACACUGGGACUGAGACACGGCCCAGACUCCUACGGGAGGCAGCAGUGGGGAAUAUUGGACAAUGGGGGGAACCCUGAUCCAGCCAUGCUGCGUGUGUGAAGAAGGCCUUAUGGUUGUAAAGCACUUUAAGCGAGGAGGAGGCUCUUUUGGUUAAUACCCAAGAUGAGUGGACGUUACUCGCAGAAUAAGCACCGGCUAACUCUGUGCCAGCAGCCGCCGUAA